This 425-nucleotide ribosomal RNA is filed under the name uncultured bacterium. RNAcentral's name for it is "bacterial SSU rRNA". It matches the Rfam family "Bacterial small subunit ribosomal RNA", at positions 356 to 773 of the family's 1533-position model. The record is from RNAcentral.
GGGGAAUAUUGCACAAUGGGCGAAAGCCUGAUGCAGCAACGCCGCGUGUAUGAAGAAGGCCUUCGGGUUGUAAAGUACUUUCAGCGAGGAGGAAGGUGUUGAGGUUAAUAACCUCAGCAAUUGACGUUACUCGCAGAAGAAACACCGGCUAACUCCGUGCCAGCAGCCGCGGUAAUACGGAGGGUGCAAGCGUUAAUCGGAAUUGCUGGGCGUAAAGCGCACGCAGGCGGUCUGUCAAGUCGGAUGUGAAAUCCCCGGGCUCAACCUGGGAACUGCAUUCGAAACUGGCAGGCUAGAGUCUUGUAGAGGGGGGUAGAAUUCCAGGUGUAGCGGUGAAAUGCGUAGAGAUCUGGAGGAAUACCGGUGGCGAAGGCGGCCCCCUGGACAAAGACUGACGCUCAGGUGCGAAAGCGUGGGGAGCAAAC